CCUACGCGGGGCUGCAGUGGGGGAUAUUGCACAAUGGGGGAAACCCUGAUGCAGCGACGCCGCGUGUGGGAAGACGGUCCUCUGGAUUGUAAACCACUGUCCCCAGGGACGAAGAUGACGGUACCUGGGGAGGAAGCUCCGGCUAACUACGUGCCAGCAGCCGCGGUAAUACGUAGGGAGCGAGCGUUGUCCGGAAUUACUGGGUGUAAAGGGAGCGUAGGCGGGGAUGCAAGUUGGGUGUCAAAACUACCGGCUCAACUGGUAGUCGCACUCAAAACUGCAGCUCUUGAGGGAAGUAGAGGCGGGCGGAAUUCCUAGUGUAGCGGUGAAAUGCGUAGAUAUUAGGAGGAACACCAGUGGCGAAGGCGGCCUGCUGGGCUUUUACUGACGCUGAGGCUCGAAAGUGUGGGGAGCAAACAGGAUUAGAUACCCGAGUAGUC
This 440-nucleotide ribosomal RNA is filed under the name uncultured bacterium. RNAcentral's name for it is "partial 16S ribosomal RNA". It matches the Rfam family "Bacterial small subunit ribosomal RNA", at positions 338 to 795 of the family's 1533-position model. The record is from RNAcentral.